This 209-nucleotide long non-coding RNA is filed under the name Elaeis guineensis (African oil palm). Its description in RNAcentral is "long non-coding RNA (EGUI_LNC052935)". The record is from RNAcentral. Lineage: Eukaryota; Viridiplantae; Streptophyta; Magnoliopsida; Arecales; Arecaceae.
GGUGCCAAAUUUAUUUAAAGGAGGGAUCCAACUAUAGGUGGGGUGUGAACAAUUUUGUGUGACAAAUAUUUCCCACAACACUAUGAGAUAGAGAGCCUCUUGUGCGACAAGAAAAAUAAGGAGGGCACUGAUUUAUGGGAACGACUUCCUUUUGGCAUCUUCUCUCUUGUGCUCUCCUUCUUAGGUGUGAAGAAUACCUCCCUAGGGUG